AAAUAUAUUAUUAAAUCAAUCCAUAGUCACUAGAAUGGGAUGGAAUACAAACUAACAAACAGUUGGCGUGCGUGAAAUGUGUACAGCGUAUCAGCCUAGCAGGAUAAACAUAGAUUCAAAAUACAGAAGCAGAAACAGAUUUAGUACAAAACUAAUCCAAUUACACAUCAAAAAUCUCAACCAAAACUCUAUUCAUACACAUCAAAAACAAAAAUUCAAUUUUCAAUAAUAUACAACAGCAAACUUAUGAAUGAGGGAAAUACCCUUUUUCCGUGGCGUGGUGGUGGGUUGAUUAUCGUCAGCUGUCGCUUGUUGUUAGUGAUCGAGUAUGUUUAAGGUUAAGGUUAUGGGUUGAUGGGAAGAAGUAUGAUGGCAGAUAUUAUCCCCAAUUUUAUCUGAUUUCUCUCUCUCCUUAUUGAAAUUUUGUUUCAAUAUAUAGACUAUUUUAUAGAAAUGAAAAGGUUUUUAAAAAUAUACUAAUACUAGUCAUGUUAUUAUAUUGACAAAAUUAGAUUACAG
RNAcentral lists this long non-coding RNA (519 nucleotides) under Cicer arietinum (chickpea). RNAcentral describes it as "long non-coding RNA (CARI_LNC002015)". The record is from RNAcentral. Lineage: Eukaryota; Viridiplantae; Streptophyta; Magnoliopsida; Fabales; Fabaceae.